Molecule: non-coding RNA, 69 nt
Organism: Podarcis lilfordi (Lilford's wall lizard)
Lineage: Eukaryota; Metazoa; Chordata; Lepidosauria; Squamata; Lacertidae
Source: the annotation of a GenBank genome assembly
GGGUAGCUCAUUUGGUAGAGCAUGAGACUCUUAAUCUGGGGGUCAUAGGUUUGAUCCCCACGUUGGGCA